Molecule: long non-coding RNA, 220 nt
Filed under: Elaeis guineensis (African oil palm)
Lineage: Eukaryota; Viridiplantae; Streptophyta; Magnoliopsida; Arecales; Arecaceae
Description: long non-coding RNA (EGUI_LNC046588)
Source: RNAcentral
GGCCUUAGUCUUGGUCUCCUGAGCCUUGGAGCACCACAUGAGGCCCAACAAUAGUAACACUUUUCCAUGCCACAUGGAGCUCUGCAAGUGGCACCGAAGGAGCUUUGGCCUUUCUCGAGGCUGCAAACAAUACAUUACCAUGAUAGUCUCUAAUAAUAUAGUCAAUACUUACUUCAGCAUUUGUCCAAACAGCAUCAAAAUUUACCUUCACUACACCACA